UUAAACGAAAUACAUACUAAGGAAAAGCUUCUAACUUUAAACUUUAGCAGUGAAAUUCUGUUAUAUUUCU
This 70-nucleotide transfer RNA is filed under the name Microselasia grandis. RNAcentral's name for it is "partial tRNA-Ser". Lineage: Eukaryota; Metazoa; Arthropoda; Insecta; Coleoptera; Elateridae. The record is from RNAcentral.